AUUGAACGCUGGCGGAAUGCUUAACACAUGCAAGUCGAACGGCAGCAUGGCAUAAUUUCGGUUAUGUUGAUGGCGAGUGGCGAACGGGUGAGUAACGCGUAGGAAUAUACCUUGAAGAUUGGGAUAACUUGGGGAAACUCAAGCUAAUACCGGAUAAUGUCUGAGGACGAAAGCUGGGGACCUUCGGGCCUGGCGCUUUAAGAUUAGCCUGCGUCCGAUUAGCUAGUUGGUGGGGUAAAGGCCUACCAAGGCGACGAUCGGUAGCUGGUCUGAGAGGAUGAUCAGCCACACUGUGACUGAGAAACGGCCCAGACUCCUACGGGAGGCAGCAGUGGGGAAUAUUGGACAAUUGGAGCAACCCUGAUCCAGCAAUGCCGCGUGUGUGAAGAAGGCCUUCGGGUUGUAAAGCACUUUAGUUGGGGAAGAAACAGCUUGGCCACACCAAGCCUUGACGGUACCCAAAGAAUAAGCACCGGCUAACUCUGUGCCAGCAGCCGCGGUAA
This 503-nucleotide ribosomal RNA is filed under the name uncultured bacterium. Its description in RNAcentral is "partial 16S ribosomal RNA". It matches the Rfam family "Bacterial small subunit ribosomal RNA", at positions 30 to 523 of the family's 1533-position model. The record is from RNAcentral.